Non-coding RNA from Ornithorhynchus anatinus (platypus), 72 nucleotides. Lineage: Eukaryota; Metazoa; Chordata; Mammalia; Monotremata; Ornithorhynchidae. The record is from Rfam.
AGCAGCGUGGCUCAGUGGAAAGAGCCUGGGCUUCGGACUCAGAGGUCAUGAGUUCGACUCCCGGCUCUGCCA